UCCACUCGUUCUUUAUUACUAAAGGAAAAAACUACAAAUAUCAGUUUCGUACUUUUUCACUUUAAUAUUCUGUAAUUUAAAGUGUAUGUAAUUUAGUACUAUAUGGUUUCGUACUUUCUUAUUUUAAUAUUCUGUGAUUUAAGUGCAUCAAUUUAGUACAUUGUGAUUUUAUUUUUCUCUUUUUGUCAGCAUCUCUAUUAAUAUUUCGUUAAAUUAUAUACAAAAACAUUCAGAUAUCCUACUUAAGUUUAUCGAAUGUUUAUUUUAGUAUCCUUUAGUUUUAACUUUAUCACUGAUUUUUUUUCUCCAUUAAUAUUUCGUUAAAUUAUAUACAAAAAACUUCAGAAACCCUACUUAGUUUUAUCGAAUAUUUAUUUUAGUACCAUUUAAUUUUAACUUUGUCACUAAUUUAACGAAAAAAAUUAGUAAAAUAGAUAAUAAAAAGAGAAAAAUAAAACCACAAAGUAUUAACUUUAUACACUUUAAAUCAUUGGGUACUAAAAUAAGAAAGUGAGAAAUCACAGGAACUAACUUGAUACACUUUAAACCAUAAGAUACUAAAGUGAAAAAAUAUGAAACCACAUGGGGUUAUUUGAAGUUUACCCUUACUAAAAUUGUACACGGUAUUAUGAGUACUAGUUACGGAACCCCGCGCGUUGCGGCGGAAAGUCGAUAUAAUAGUCAAUUAGUAGAACUAUUAAUAUUAUUUUUUUUAUUAUUCAUUAAUAUUUUUGAAUAAUAUUUAUU
This 747-nucleotide long non-coding RNA is filed under the name Ananas comosus (pineapple). RNAcentral's name for it is "long non-coding RNA (ACOM_LNC014537)". Lineage: Eukaryota; Viridiplantae; Streptophyta; Magnoliopsida; Poales; Bromeliaceae. The record is from RNAcentral.